ACCACUUCGGUGGGGAUGAGUGGCGAACGGGUGAGUAACACGUGGGUAAUCUGCCCUGCACUCUGGGAUAAGCCUUGGAAACGAGGUCUAAUACCGGAUAUCACAACUUCAGGCAUCUGUUGUUGUUGAAAGUUCUGGCGGUGCAGGAUGAACCCGCGGCCUAUCAGCUUGUUGGUGGGGUAAUGGCCUACCAAGGCGACGACGGGUAGCCGGCCUGAGAGGGUGACCGGCCACACUGGGACUGAGACACGGCCCAGACUCCUACGGGAGGCAGCAGUGGGGAAUAUUGCACAAUGGGCGCAAGCCUGAUGCAGCGACGCCGCGUGAGGGAUGACGGCCUUCGGGUUGUAAACCUCUUUCGCCAGGGACGAAGCGCAAGUGACGGUACCUGGAUAAGAAGCACCGGCUAACUACGUGCCAGCAGCCGCGGUAAUACGUAGGGUGCGAGCGUUGUCCGGAUUUAUUGGGCGUAAAGAGCUCGUAGGCGGUUUGUCGCGUCGGCCGUGAAAUCUCCACGCUUAACGUGGAGCGUGCGGUCGAUACGGGCAGACUUGAGUUCGGUAGGGGAGACUGGAAUUCCUGGUGUAGCGGUGAAAUGCGCAGAUAUCAGGAGGAACACCGGUGGCGAAGGCGGGUCUCUGGGCCGAUACUGACGCUGAGGAGCGAAAGCGUGGGGAGCGAACAGGAUUAGAUACCCUGGUAGUCCACGCUGUAAACGUUGGGCGCUAGGUGUGGGCGACAUCCACGUUGUCCGUGCCGUAGCUAACGCAUUAAGCGCCCCGCCUGGGGAG
This 791-nucleotide ribosomal RNA is filed under the name Amycolatopsis pretoriensis. RNAcentral describes it as "bacterial SSU rRNA". It matches the Rfam family "Bacterial small subunit ribosomal RNA", at positions 74 to 880 of the family's 1533-position model. The record is from RNAcentral. Lineage: Bacteria; Bacillati; Actinomycetota; Actinomycetes; Pseudonocardiales; Pseudonocardiaceae.